ACUAUAUACUUUCUUUUCAAUUCUUCUGGUAAUGUGUAUUUAACAAUUAAUUUUGCUAAUCUUGGAUGUAGCUUUGCACAUGGAUUGCUACAGAUUAGAGCUGUCACAGCGGGCUGUCCAUGUCCAUUAGCCCAGUCCAAUAAUGUCCAUUUCGAUAUUGGACAAAUAGUGUUCAUGUCCACUAAGGCACAUGUCCAUUAACGCCCGUGCCCAUUAAUGUCCAUGUCCAAAUGGGUUGUCCAAUAGGCAUAACAAAACCAAAUUUUAACACAAUAGUAUUUGCUUCAGCAAGAUGCUUGAAUGUUUCUUUGUAAAUAAUCGCUCUAGAGAGCAUUAGAUGUGUAGAAUUCCAUUUUGUGCUUACUACCAAUUCUUUUUUCUGUUU
RNAcentral lists this small RNA (385 nucleotides) under Arabidopsis thaliana (thale cress). RNAcentral's name for it is "ATSL293820". The record is from RNAcentral. Lineage: Eukaryota; Viridiplantae; Streptophyta; Magnoliopsida; Brassicales; Brassicaceae.